This 322-nucleotide ribosomal RNA is filed under the name uncultured eukaryote. Its description in RNAcentral is "partial 18S ribosomal RNA". It matches the Rfam family "Eukaryotic small subunit ribosomal RNA", at positions 1470 to 1796 of the family's 1831-position model. The record is from RNAcentral.
CCCUUAGAUGUUCUGGGCCGCACGCAUGCUACACUGAGUGGAUCAGCGGGUCAGGUUGCGCGAAAGUGUUUCCUAAUCUUGAAAUCCGCUCGUGAUGGGGAUUGACGGUUGCAAUUUUCCGUCAUGAACGAGGAAUACCUUGUAAGCGCGGGUCAUCAUCCCGCGCUGAAUACGUCCCUGCCCUUUGUACACACCGCCCGUCGCUCCUACCGAUUGAGUGGUCCGGUGAGGCUUUGGGAUCUGAGCGGAAAGAGCGUUUCGCUGUUUCUGCUCGGAAAACUCAGUCGAACCUUAUCAUUUAGGGGAAGGAGAAGUCGUAACA